UACGAAGGGGGCUAGCGUUGCUCGGAAUCACUGGGCGUAAAGCGCACGUAGGCGGCUUUUUAAGUCAGGGGUGAAAUCCUGGAGCUUAACUCCAGAACUGCCUUUGAUACUGGGAAGCUAGAGUCCGGAAGAGGUGAGUGGAACUGCGAGUGUAGAGGUGAAAUUCGUAGAUAUUCGCGAGAACACCAGUGGCGAAGGCGGCUCACUGGUCCGGUACUGACGCUGAGGUGCGAAAGCGUGGGGAGCAAACAGG
This 253-nucleotide ribosomal RNA is filed under the name uncultured bacterium. Its description in RNAcentral is "partial 16S ribosomal RNA". It matches the Rfam family "Bacterial small subunit ribosomal RNA", at positions 524 to 776 of the family's 1533-position model. The record is from RNAcentral.